GACGAACGCUGGCGGCGUGCUUAACACAUGCAAGUCGAACGGAAAGGCCCUGCUUUUGUGGGGUGCUCGAGUGGCGAACGGGUGAGUAACACGUGAGUAACCUGCCCUUGACUUUGGGAUAACUUCAGGAAACUGGGGCCAAUACCGGAUAGGAGCUCCUGCUGCAUGGUGGGGGUUGGAAAGUUUCGGCGGUUGGGGAUGGACUCGCGGCUUAUCAGCUUGUUGGUGGGGUAGUGGCUUACUAAGGCUUUGACGGGUAGCCGGCCUGAGAGGGUGACCGGCCACAUUGGGACUGAGAUACGGCCCAGACUCCUACGGGAGGCAGCAGUGGGGAAUAUUGCACAAUGGGCGGAAGCCUGAUGCAGCAACGCCGCGUGCGGGAUGACGGCCUUCGGGCUGUAAACCGCUUUCGCCUGUGACGAAGCGUGAGUGACGGUAAUGGGUAAAGAAGCACCGGCUAACUACGUG
This 468-nucleotide ribosomal RNA is filed under the name uncultured bacterium. Its description in RNAcentral is "partial 16S ribosomal RNA". It matches the Rfam family "Bacterial small subunit ribosomal RNA", at positions 28 to 507 of the family's 1533-position model. The record is from RNAcentral.